This 253-nucleotide ribosomal RNA is filed under the name uncultured bacterium. Its description in RNAcentral is "partial 16S ribosomal RNA". It matches the Rfam family "Bacterial small subunit ribosomal RNA", at positions 524 to 776 of the family's 1533-position model. The record is from RNAcentral.
UACAGAGGGGGCAAGCGUUGUUCGGAAUUACUGGGCGUAAAGGGCGCGUAGGCGGCCGCCUAAGUCAGACGUGAAAUCCCUCGGCUCAACCGGGGAACUGCGUCUGAUACUGGGUGGCUUGAAUCCGGGAGAGGGAUGCGGAAUUCCAGGUGUAGCGGUGAAAUGCGUAGAUAUCAGGAAGAACACCAACGGCGAAGGCAGCUCGCUGGGACGGUACUGACGCUGAGACGCGAAAGCUAGGGGAGCAAACGGG